Molecule: ribosomal RNA, 484 nt
Filed under: uncultured bacterium
Lineage: Bacteria
Description: partial 16S ribosomal RNA
Rfam family: Bacterial small subunit ribosomal RNA
Source: RNAcentral
AUUGAACGCUGGCGGCAUGCUUUACACAUGCAAGUCGAACGGCAGCGCGGGCUUCGGCCUGGCGGCGAGUGGCGAACGGGUGAGUAAUGCAUCGGAACGUGCCCAGUAGUGGGGGAUAGCCCGGCGAAAGCCGGAUUAACACCGCAUACGACCUGAGGGUGAAAGCGGGGGCCCGAAAGGCCUCGCGCUAUUGGAGCGGCCGAUGUCGGAUUAGCUAGUUGGUGGGGUAAAGGCUUACCAAGGCGACGAUCCGUAGCUGGUCUGAGAGGACGACCAGCCACACUGGGACUGAGACACGGCCCAGACUCCUACGGGAGGCAGCAGUGGGGAAUUUUGGACAAUGGGGGCAACCCUGAUCCAGCCAUGCCGCGUGCGGGAAGAAGGCCUUCGGGUUGUAAACCGCUUUUGUUCGGGAAGAAAUCCUCUGGGCUAAUACCCCGGGGGGAUGACGGUACCGGAAGAAUAAGCACCGGCUAACUACGUG